AGGUUCAAAAAGGGUAUAAUAUUUCAAACACUUUAGGUGAAAAUUUGGCUAGAGAAGGGUUUUCAAAAACGGCAUUGAUCAUAUGACAUUUACAUGCAAUUCAAUCAAUCAUCAUGAUUAAGGCAAUAUCAUCCAUAUUUUCCUGUGAACAAAACAUGCAACAAUAAAAACUCUAGAGCUCAAAAUCUCACACACAUGCUUCCUCACACAAAAUUCAUUCAUACACCACCUAGCAUCAUGACCACAAUCAUAAAUUCAUCACCCAUCUAUUUUCUGGAUAUCAUCAUGCAUUACAACUCAAUUUUCAUCCACAUCCAAAAAUCAUCAAAUAGAUCUAUCAUGCAAAUUAGCUAGUCAAGCAUUUUCAGAGCAAGUAAUAAAGCCAAGAAUACACACUAAAAUUAAAAUUCAACCUAUUAUAGGAAUUUAAAAAAUGCAAAAGUGUAAGAAGAAAUUCUAGGUUGCCUCCUAGUAGAGCUUUUUUAACAUCACGAGCCUGACCCAAACCUGGUUGGCACUUGUCAGUAAGUGCACUACCUUCCACCACCCAUCAGUAGGUGUACCUUCCGGAUAUCCUUCAGUGGAUACCAAAAAUUUAGCAUCCCUCAGUAGAUGCUAAUCAUUACUACCAUCAGAAGCAGUGCAUAACCCAAAAAUAAGAUAAAAUAAAGUAAAAUAACAUAAAAUAAAAUAAAAAAAUAAAAAAAAUAAAAAUAAAAAUAAAAUAAAGUAAAAUCAAAUCAAAUAAAAUAAGAUACAAUAAAAUAAAAUAAAAUAAAAUAAAAUCAAAUCAAAUCAAAUAAAAUCACAUAAAAUAAAAUAAAAUCAAAUCAAAUCAAAUCAAAUAAAAUAAAAUCAAACACCCAUCAGUAGGUGUUGAUACUCCCCUUUCUUGAUAUUCUUUUCUUUUUCUUCUUCCUGCUGAAUUUCUUCAUAAAAUUAAGAACACCAAGCACUUGUUUCCAUGUUUCAAUCAUAGGAACUUUAAUCUCCAAUUUCUUGAAGAUCUCCAUAAAGCUCAAAAAUUUAUUUUCCUUCCUAUGAUAUUUCUUUUUAUGCGGAAGGGGUUUUUCACAAGAUCUUUUCUUUUUACCUCUCUUCCUUUUCUUCUCUCUCCUCAACUUUCCUCUUUUCUCUUUUCUUCUUUUCUUCUUUAUUUUUGAAUAUUUUUUCUUUUUUUCUUUUUUCUUAACCACUGCUUUUUCUCCCUCAUCAUCUUUAUCUUCCUUAACCAACUCUUCUAUUUCUUCUUCUUUUAAAUAUCUCUCUAUCUCUUCUUCCUCUAUCUUUUCCUCCUUGACAACCUUAUCAUUUUUAGAGAUAGUGGCUUGAUAUUCUUCUUCAGGGUUAACUUCUAUAUUAUCCCUAAUAAUGCCCAGAGACUUCAAAACAUGAGAGUGUUGUUCCUGCAAUAAACAUGCCUGUUUUUCUCCCAAAGUUUCUUUGCGUACAGGAGAUUGUUUUUGUUGUAAACGUUG
RNAcentral lists this long non-coding RNA (1478 nucleotides) under Vigna radiata. RNAcentral's name for it is "long non-coding RNA (VRAD_LNC017608)". The record is from RNAcentral. Lineage: Eukaryota; Viridiplantae; Streptophyta; Magnoliopsida; Fabales; Fabaceae.